RNAcentral lists this non-coding RNA (58 nucleotides) under unclassified sequences. RNAcentral's name for it is "S4-Clostridia ribosomal protein leader". It matches the Rfam family "S4-Clostridia ribosomal protein leader". The record is from RNAcentral.
GAAAGGCCGUGGAUCUUACGGCCGCGGCUGGGUGUGAUACCGAGACACCCCAAUUAGG